AUGAGCAUAGUGACUGACAUGGCAGAAAUACUCAAGCCGUCAUUGAUUUACAAUGUAUGGAACACUGUGCAACCAAAGCAGUAUUUCCCAUCAGUAGGUGACAUGGUACAAAAAUUCAGGCCCACCACGAUUCUUGAUGCAUGCAGUAGUGCACUACCAAACCAGUAUUUGUCAUCAGGUAAGGGUCACGUACAUUUUGACAUUCCUUGGGCAAGCCCAAUACUGCAGGUGUGGAAAGGUUAGUCUAUCUGGAGUAAGCAUGAGCGUGUGAGCUAAGCGCAUGGACAGGAGUUGAAGCACGGAG
Molecule: long non-coding RNA, 304 nt
Filed under: Dromaius novaehollandiae (emu)
Lineage: Eukaryota; Metazoa; Chordata; Aves; Casuariiformes; Dromaiidae
Description: lncRNA (ENSDNVG00000008408.1)
Source: RNAcentral